This 465-nucleotide ribosomal RNA is filed under the name uncultured Lactobacillaceae bacterium. Its description in RNAcentral is "bacterial SSU rRNA". It matches the Rfam family "Bacterial small subunit ribosomal RNA", at positions 338 to 795 of the family's 1533-position model. The record is from RNAcentral. Lineage: Bacteria; Bacillati; Bacillota; Bacilli; Lactobacillales; Lactobacillaceae.
CCUACGUGAGGCAGCAGUAGGGAAUCUUCCACAAUGGGCGAAAGCCUGAUGGAGCAACGCCGCGUGUGUGAUGAAGGGUUUCGGCUCGUAAAACACUGUUGUAAGAGAAGAAUGACAUUGAGAGUAACUGUUCAAUGUGUGACGGUAUCUUCACAGAAAGGAACGGCUAAAUACGUGCCAGCAGCCGCGGUAAUACGUAUGUUCCAAGCGUUAUCCGGAUUUAUUGGGCGUAAAGCGAGCGCAGACGGUUAUUUAAGUCUGAAGUGAAAGCCCUCAGAUCAACUGAGGAAUUGCUUUGGAAACUGGAUGACUUGAGUGCAGUAGAGGAAAGUGGAACUCCAUGUGUAGCGGUGAAAUGCGUAGAUAUAUGGAAGAACACCAGUGGCGAAGGCGGCUUUCUGGACUGUAACUGACGUUGAGGCUCGAAAGUGUGGGUAGCAAACAGGAUUAGAUACCCGUGUAGUC